This is a non-coding RNA of Coturnix japonica (Japanese quail), 1916 nucleotides long. NCBI's taxonomy places the organism in Eukaryota, Metazoa, Chordata, Aves, Galliformes, Phasianidae. The record is from RefSeq and is a predicted model, not a curated record.
CGCAGGCACAUACCUCGGAGCUGCUGGGCUCCCCAGCUGCAGCAUCCCGCAUCCCUCUGAGACUGAUCCCGAUGCUGUGAGAGCCCCGGCUGAGGGAAGGAAGCUCAAGACAAGAGCUCCAGUGUUUGAGACAAAUCUUGUCCUUUUGUGAAAUGGCACUUCAACUGAGGCGGCAGCAGAUCUCUGUCCUCCUGGAAGCCCAGGGUCAGUGCCAGAAAAAACAACAGCUGAGAGAGAAGAAAGCAGUCCCGGUUUUUUAUUCUUUGGAUAUUGAAGGCAACAUCUUAAUGGGGCAUAAAGAACCAAAAUGCCACUAAGUUGGUGUGAUGAUGAGUUCCUGCUUCUACUCUGCAUAUACUGAAGGACAGUGGUGAGAGAAGACAGAAUGGCUGUGAGAGAAGGUGCUUUCAGGCACUCAUCUACCUGCCCUCAGCUGCAGGAAAGGUACUUUAUGUUGCCUUACCAACCACAGGGAAGAUUGAAGUCAUUAAUAUAGCUGGGAUGAGAGAAAGAGGCAGAAGAUAAGGACAUUUUAUGCACAAGUUUAUCUGCUAACUAAAUGAACAUCCAGAACAGACACUGCAAAAAUACUUCAAAGCAAAACAAAACAGCAUUACAGGGGACACUCACCUUUCAGGGAGCUCAGAAAAUAUUGCUGCUUCCCUUCUGCAGCAUUAGAGCUGUACCGAGUGCUGGAGAGUACAAGGAAUGCAUCCCUGAUCCCGCCUGGCCAAGCGAAUCCUGCUGCACUGCAAGCAAUAACAACUACAUUUACUGUGAGGCAAAGAGAAGCGGAAAAAUAGCAGUAAUGAAGCAAUGCAAGGUAAAAUAACAGGCAGUUAGCUGCUAAGUCCCCUUUCCCAUGGAAACACCAGAAAAGAGAGUUGAAAUAAAAGCAGACUGUACAAAAGGGAUGAUUUCUUCCCAACCCCUGCAGGCAUCCCUGUGAUAUGGGGUGCAGUCAUGGGGUUGGGCUGCUGCUAUGGAAGCCAAUAAACACCAGAGUGCUCAGGAAGUAUUUACUAAAAAUGUUUUAUAUAAAACAGAUGUAGAAAAAUUACAACCUUUACAUGUUUACCGCAACCCACACCCAUAUAUAAAAAUUUGCUACAUUCACCAUUCAUCAUAAAGUGAGAUGAGUAGUGUGACUCAACGCAAAUGUACAAUCAGAACUUGAUAUAUCUUUCCAUUAAUCUUCCAACAUGUCCUGUCAGGCACCUCUUGACAGUCUCUCCCCAGGAUAAUGUCUGGCAAACAUCCCUUUGGAUUAUUCCAAAAUAAAACGUGAUUACUUGGUGUGAUCCUCUGCUCUGCGUGCAGGGCCUAAGAAUAGGUACAUUUAGAUUUAGAAAUAUAAUGCCCAGGAGAGAGCAAAGAACUCCCCGUCCUAGUAGAUACUGGGAGCCAGGGAGAGAACAUUGAAUAAAGCAAAAAGUGUCGUAGUUAGUCUUCAUGUCAGCUGCAAGCGUGUGAAGUCCCCCACAGAUCCCAUUCUGUCAGCCCACAAUUGCUACAUUACACAGAUUGGUUCUUACCCACAUAGAGGGCUUCCGACCCUUAAGAAAGCACUGGAAAAUGCUUUUUCACAGUUCAAAUAAAAUCUCUUUCAAAUAACUUUAAAAAAAAAUCUUUAAAUUUUUGGAAACAAACAAACAAACAACCUUCCCCUCCCUUCUCCCCCUCCCUCCCCCAUCCCACCAUGUUCAUGCGGGAAGAUAAGCAGCCAUGAAAGUCAGGUGCCCCCCCAUCCUUCUCUGCCAGGCAAAACAGUUUCUGAAUUAAGUCCUGAAAUUGGGAAGGCAAUUCCAGGUAUGUUUUCUGUUCUACGUCAAAACAGAUUUGAGUUGGAUCCAAACCAUGUACUCUAGUAAACGAUGGAGAGAUUCACAGAUUUGAUUACCAUUGAAAUCGUUAUA